CCCUUAGAUGUUCUGGGCUGCACACGUGCUACACUGGCAGGUUCAGCGAGCUUCAUACCCUGAUCUGAAAGGAAUGGGAAAUCUUUUCAAAACCUGCCGUGCUUGGGAUAGAUGUUUGCAAUUAUUCAUCUUCAACGAGGAUUGCCUUGUAAGCGCACGUCAUCAGCGUGCAUUGAAUACGACCCUGUAUUCUGUACACACCGCCCGUCGCUCCUACCGAUUGAAGUUUUCGGUGAGUUGACAGGAGGAUUUUUUUGAAACUGGUUCGCCAGUGGAUUUUAGAUCCAAAUGCCAACGAAUCGAUGGCUUUAGAGGAAGGAGAAGUCGUAACA
This 332-nucleotide ribosomal RNA is filed under the name uncultured eukaryote. RNAcentral describes it as "partial 18S ribosomal RNA". It matches the Rfam family "Eukaryotic small subunit ribosomal RNA", at positions 1470 to 1796 of the family's 1831-position model. The record is from RNAcentral.